Molecule: long non-coding RNA, 501 nt
Organism: Macadamia integrifolia
Lineage: Eukaryota; Viridiplantae; Streptophyta; Magnoliopsida; Proteales; Proteaceae
Exons: 2
Source: RefSeq, a predicted model, not a curated record
UGAUCUCACCUAUGCUGACUGUUUCCGCAGAAUGACAUAUAACGACGGGAGGGCUUCGACCAGAGAGCCGAAACUAGAUAAACUACCAGUGGAGGAACAUCAAAAGAGGGUCCGAAUGGCUGAAGAAGUGGAAGAGGACGACAGCUGCUCGCCAAGAGAAAACACCAACACUUCAAUGAAGACGAUGCCCUCACGACUAAGAGUAAACUCAGAAGGAAGGUCAAAGGACACUGUAAGGCAGCGAAAACCGUAACAGAAAGCUUGCUCUCUCUGUCCACAACAAAAGGGUCAUCGGAGUUUGUCGAAUUCGGCGCCGGCGAUUCCUUUCGAUUUGAACUCUAUGAUGGAAAUUGGAAGUGAUGUCCAAGUUUGUGCUCGAGGCCCUUGGGAUAUUAGAAAAUUAGAGACUUGUGGACACAUUUAAUCCCUUGGACAGAGGGAAUGUGGGAAUGUAUCAAUCUUAAUUGAUUGUUAUAGAAAAUUUAUUUUAUCUUAGAAAAA